UGCUGCGAUCAUACCAGCACUAAUGCACCGGAUCCCAUCAGAACUCCGCAGUUAAGCGUGCUUGGGCGAGAGUAGUACUAGGAUGGGUGACCCCCUGGGAAGUCCUCGUGUUGCAACCC
Molecule: ribosomal RNA, 119 nt
Filed under: Helianthus annuus (common sunflower)
Lineage: Eukaryota; Viridiplantae; Streptophyta; Magnoliopsida; Asterales; Asteraceae
Source: RNAcentral